UAACAUCGUGUAAUAAAAAUCAAACCUGC
RNAcentral lists this non-coding RNA (29 nucleotides) under Bombyx mori (domestic silkworm). The record is from RNAcentral. Lineage: Eukaryota; Metazoa; Arthropoda; Insecta; Lepidoptera; Bombycidae.